UUUCCGUAGGUGAACCUGCGGAAGGAUCAUUAUUGGAUUUGAAAACUUAAAGCUGCUGCUGACUCUCCUCGGCGGGCGUGUGCACGCUUGUUGUCCCUUGUUUCUCCCACUGUCCACAAAUUGUAGACCUUUCGGUACGCCUGUGUUGUUUUUCACAAUCACUGAAUGUAAUAAAAUGUUUUUGAAUCUUUGUAAAUACAAUACAACUUUCAGCAACGGAUCUCUUGGCUCUCGCAUCGAUGAAGAACGCCGCAGACCAGAAGAGCACACGGCUGACCC
This 279-nucleotide unclassified non-coding RNA is filed under the name plant metagenome. Its description in RNAcentral is "partial contains small subunit ribosomal RNA, internal transcribed spacer 1, and 5.8S ribosomal RNA". The record is from RNAcentral.